This 429-nucleotide ribosomal RNA is filed under the name uncultured bacterium. RNAcentral's name for it is "bacterial SSU rRNA". It matches the Rfam family "Bacterial small subunit ribosomal RNA", at positions 29 to 507 of the family's 1533-position model. The record is from RNAcentral.
AACGAACGCUGGCGGCAGGCCUAACACAUGCAAGUCGAGCGCCCGCAAGGGAGCGGCAGACGGGUGAGUAACACGUGGGAACCUACCCUUUCCUACGGAAUAACACAGAGAAAAUUUGUGCUAAUACCGUAUACGCCCUUCGGGGGAAAGAUUCAUCGGGGAAGGAUGGGCCCGCGUCCGAUUAGCUGGUUGGUGGGGUAAUGGCCUACCAAGGCGACGAUCGGUAGCUGGUCUGAGAGGAUGAUCAGCCACAUUGGGACUGAGACACGGCCCAAACUCCUACGGGAGGCAGCAGUGGGGAAUAUUGGACAAUGGGCGCAAGCCUGAUCCAGCCAUGCCGCGUGAGUGAUGAAGGCCUUAGGGUUGUAAAGCUCUUUCACCCACGACGAUAAUGACGGUAGUGGGAGAAGAAGCCCGGCUAACUUCGUG